ACAAGCCUGAGAAACGGCUAGUAGGACUAAGGUCUGCAGCAGGCGCGAAACUUACACAAUGCUAGAUUACAAUUAGCGAUGUAGUGAAGAAAAAUAACGAUGUAUUUCCAUUUAAACAUGGUAGUACAAUUGGAAUGAGACGACUUUAAAUCAGUUAGUCGAGUAACAAAUGGAGGGCAAGUCUGGUGCCAGCAGCCGCGGUAAUUCCAGCUCCAUUAGCAUACAUUAAAGUUGUUGCGGUUAAAAAGCUCGUAGUUGAAUUUUAGGCGGGCUCUAUUGGGGUGCAAUCGUUAAGGUCCUCUGGUCAUAGGUUCGCCCUAUCUAGUCGGACUGGUUGUCAUCUUCCUAUAGGAACUCGCUGUUUCGUCACUUAAUCGAGUGCGAAGCGGGCUGGAACGAGGGUACGACUUCGGUCUACCUUGUCUCAGCAUCUUUACCUUGAGAAAAUUAGAGUGCUCACAGCAGGCAGUUGGGGUGUAAAAGCUCCUUUAUGCUUGAAUAAUGUUGCAUGGAAUAAUAGAAUACGGCCUCGGUUCUAUUCUGUUGGUCUUAUAGAACAACAAACAAGUUGGUUAAAGCGAUCAAAAGUCUAUAUGUGAGUGUGGUCUAGUGGUAGCUUCUUAGUUGCUGGUUAACUUCCGGCUGUGUCUUGUUGCCUAGGGCCAAAAUCCUAGAGCCUUACGCUCCGGCUUGUUGCCUUCUUUACUAAUUAGCACGCCACUUUUCCAUCCAAAGCAUUCCUUAUACGACUAGCUUCUAAUCAACUGAGGCAAUGGUUAAAAGAAAUAGUCGCGGCGGCAUCAGUACUGCAUCGUGAGAG
RNAcentral lists this ribosomal RNA (820 nucleotides) under Diptilomiopus ligustri. Its description in RNAcentral is "partial 18S ribosomal RNA". It matches the Rfam family "Eukaryotic small subunit ribosomal RNA", at positions 389 to 910 of the family's 1831-position model. Lineage: Eukaryota; Metazoa; Arthropoda; Arachnida; Trombidiformes; Diptilomiopidae. The record is from RNAcentral.